AUUUAUAUAUUAUAUUUAGUAAAAUUAACUUCCAAUUAAUCAGUUCAAUAUUUUUGAUAUAAAUA
This 65-nucleotide transfer RNA is filed under the name Lepidostoma longipilosum. Its description in RNAcentral is "tRNA-Gly". The record is from RNAcentral. Lineage: Eukaryota; Metazoa; Arthropoda; Insecta; Trichoptera; Lepidostomatidae.